AAAAUUUGGGUACAAUUCUUGAGGUGAUUUUCGUAUGGUUCUUAACUAAAAAUACACCUAUGUUGCAUAUAAUAAACUCUGAGAAAAUCAUGGAUUUGAGGAAAUCAUGGUGAAUUUAGUUAAGAACCAUACGAAAAGCACCUAAGGAAUUGUACCUAAGUUUU
This 164-nucleotide microRNA precursor is filed under the name Medicago truncatula (barrel medic). RNAcentral's name for it is "MIR2606 microRNA precursor family". It matches the Rfam family "MIR2606 microRNA precursor family". Lineage: Eukaryota; Viridiplantae; Streptophyta; Magnoliopsida; Fabales; Fabaceae. The record is from Rfam by way of RNAcentral.